GCUCAGAGCGAACGCUGGCGGCAGGCUUAACACAUGCAAGUCGAGCGGGCGUAGCAAUACGUCAGCGGCAGACGGGUGAGUAACGCGUGGGAACAUACCUUUUGGUUCGGAACAACACAGGGAAACUUGUGCUAAUACCGGAUAAGCCCUUACGGGGAAAGAUUUAUCGCCGAAAGAUUGGCCCGCGUCUGAUUAGCUAGUUGGUGAGGUAAUGGCUCACCAAGGCGACGAUCAGUAGCUGGUYUGAGAGGAUGAUCAGCCACAUUGGGACUGAGACACGGCCCAAACUCCUACGGGAGGCAGCAGUGGGGAAUAUUGGACAAUGGGGGCAACCCUGAUCCAGCCAUGCCGCGUGAGUGAUGAAGGCCCUAGGGUUGUAAAGCUCUUUUGUGCGGGAAGAUAAUG
RNAcentral lists this ribosomal RNA (405 nucleotides) under Bradyrhizobium sp. R-37822. Its description in RNAcentral is "bacterial SSU rRNA". It matches the Rfam family "Bacterial small subunit ribosomal RNA", at positions 22 to 453 of the family's 1533-position model. Lineage: Bacteria; Pseudomonadati; Pseudomonadota; Alphaproteobacteria; Hyphomicrobiales; Nitrobacteraceae. The record is from RNAcentral.